Molecule: long non-coding RNA, 654 nt
Organism: Helianthus annuus (common sunflower)
Lineage: Eukaryota; Viridiplantae; Streptophyta; Magnoliopsida; Asterales; Asteraceae
Exons: 3
Source: RefSeq, a predicted model, not a curated record
CGAAUGACACAUGGGUGUUGCCAUACCUUCAGUUUAUUGUUGUAGAAAUUCGGUUCCAAUGUAUGCUAAAGUCUCUGCAGUUCACGUCUUCAUCUUCUUUGAUUCGCCUGCAAUUUAAGUUGACGGUGUUAUAAGAACAGCAGGGGGUGGGGUUCGGCGAGUCGAACUUGUCACGACGAUGGCUAUGGAUUUCGGCAAUGGAAGACGACAAGACAUCUUCUCGAGUUCUCGGUCCAAUGGUCUAUCUUAAUCUCUCUUUUCCAGUUCUUGGAUGCAUUUAUUAGUUGAAAAUUUACAUCUUUUGGAUGGUUUAGAAACAGAGAACAGGGCCGAAUCACGUUGAUAUAAUCAUGUUUACAUUGAAAUAUUCGUUCCUGCCAUGAAGCCAUUGUUUGUAGAGCUUGCUUCAUCAGCAGUGGUAGUUAUAACCCUGUUUACAUGCCCACCCCUGAGCAUAAAAAGGCGAAUCCAUUCUUGAAUGCGAAUAGAAGAUGUCUGCCCAAAUACGGUAUGUGUAAACAAAUUUGUUUUUAUGUCAGCAAGUGAUUAGUAGUCGGAAAUCAUAUGCUGACUGCUAUCUAAACUACAUGAGGCAAGCUAGAUAUAGUUGAAAAUGUUAUUGUUGAUGUCGUUGAAUUUAUGAAUCACUGUUUG